UAGGGAAUCUUCCGCAAUGGACGAAAGUCUGACGGAGCAACGCCGCGUGAGUGAUGAAGGUCUUCGGAUCGUAAAACUCUGUUGUUAGGGAAGAACAAGUAUAAGGCGAAUAACCUUAUACCUUGACGGUACCUAACCAGAAAGCCCCGGCUAACUACGUGCCAGCAGCCGCGGUAAUACGUAGGGGGCGAGCGUUGUCCGGAAUUAUUGGGCGUAAAGGGUGCGUAGGCGGUCUUCUAAGUCUGAUGUGAAAGCCCCCGGCUUAACCGGGGAGGGUCAUUGGAAACUGGAAGACUUGAGUGCAGAAGAGGAGAGCGGAAUUCAACGUGUAGCGGUGAAAUGCGUAGAGAUGUGGAGGAACACCAGUGGCGAAGGCGGCUCUCUGGUCUGUAACUGACGCGGAGGCACGAAAGCGUGGGGAGCAAACAGG
This 430-nucleotide ribosomal RNA is filed under the name Bacillota bacterium. Its description in RNAcentral is "Firmicutes bacterium partial 16S ribosomal RNA". It matches the Rfam family "Bacterial small subunit ribosomal RNA", at positions 355 to 776 of the family's 1533-position model. Lineage: Bacteria; Bacillati; Bacillota. The record is from RNAcentral.